GGACCUUAAGGCCCAAUGGGCUUCGAACGUCAAGCCCAUUAACUUAAGUUGUAUGACAAUUUAAUGACUAAAGAUUCAUUAAAGCCCAAAAGCCCAAAUCCCAUAAGGUGGCCGGCCAUAUUAGAUGAAUUAGGGUUGUUUGGUUAUUUAGGUCACUUAAAGAAGUGACUAUAUAAAUGACUUUAUAACUAAAUAUUCAUUAAGUGAAAUAAGGGUUUAUUUUUUGGGAAAAUGGGUGAGAAUUGUCUCUCCAUUUUCUCUCUAAAGAGGCCAACACCUUGGAGGUGAUUAGCUAGUCAUCUAAUCCUCCAAGGUCACUCAUUCAUCAUCCAAUCUCUCCUUGGUGUAGAGACUUAGAGGUUCUCAAUUUUGUGAACUUGGAGAACCUAUUCUUCCAUCCAAAUCCAUGGAUCUAAGAAGCAAGGAAUGAAGGCCCUAUCUCUUUGGGUGAUUAGCCUUUGCUUAUGCAAAGAGGAAUCUACAAAGGUAUUAAUUUCAACUCACUUAUUUUUGAGUUGAUUAUUGGUUCACCAAUCUACUAGGCUUUGAAUUUCAUGGUCAUGUUUUGUUUUUGAGUACAUACAAGCAUGAUUCCGCCUUUAAUUGUUAAUUGCAUGCUAUAUGAUGUUGCUCAAAUGAACAUGUUUUACAAAAUAAUUCCUUCAAUUUCUCAUUAAAGUCAUGAGAAACAGUGGAAGGUGAGAAAAGGAUAUAAACUUGAAUAUGAUUGGUUUAUAGUUGUCUAAAAUUAAUAGUACUUUACUACUAUUAAUGAGUUUGUAAUUUUAAUUGUUAAAAGUCUCAAGCUCUUCAAAACGUUGAAAUUCUAUGUUGUGUAACAUUCUAAAGAAUAGUCUAUGAAUGUUGGUUUCGUCAACCUAGCAUAAAAUGGUUAUAUGUUGGGAGUUGUCCAUCAUUCUCUUUUAUGAGAACAUGCUAAGUACAAAGCAAAUGGACAAGUUGAUGAAACAAAAGCGAAUAGUUUCAAAAUGAGUCACAACAUAUGGUUUAACAACAAGACAAUCCAAAUUCGGCACCUAAUGUAACUAUAACGCUCUAUGUAGUUUUGAUAAAGAAUUAUAUCAACCACCUAGAAGGUAUGGUUGAGUUUCUAUAUCCUUAGUAGGAGCCAUGCUUCCACUAAUGACUUGGAUAAUUCUUAUAUGACUACAUUAAAGGUCUUAGUAUGACUAAAACUUGAAGUAUGGUGUAUGAUAGCAUAUAAUUUAAAUGAAUGGACUUGAUAUAGCAAGUCACACAUUUCAAAUGGAAUUACUUGAGAAUGAAUUCUUUUGUGUAUGUUCGUUUAAAUAACUUGUGUUAGCUAGAGUUGUUGAUACUCCCAAAAUUGUUGAGACAUCUGAAGGGAAAUUGUGAGAUUUCAUGUGGGAUUUCUAGUGACUAGCAUGCAUAUACAAUUCAAAAUUUAUAUACAAAAGCAACGGAAGCAUGUUAUCAAAUAAUAUCAAAGCUAUAGUUAUGCAAAUCCCCUUCAAGAUGCAUAGGUUUAUGUAAGAUGCAUCAAAACAAUUUAUAGAAGAACAAAGUGUAGGAGUAGUUUUAUACCUCUUGAUCUAGACUUUAGACCAAGGAUGGACCACCUCCAAGCC
This 1610-nucleotide long non-coding RNA is filed under the name Malus domestica (apple). RNAcentral describes it as "long non-coding RNA (MDOM_LNC018614)". The record is from RNAcentral. Lineage: Eukaryota; Viridiplantae; Streptophyta; Magnoliopsida; Rosales; Rosaceae.